Molecule: ribosomal RNA, 483 nt
Filed under: uncultured bacterium
Lineage: Bacteria
Description: partial 16S ribosomal RNA
Rfam family: Bacterial small subunit ribosomal RNA
Source: RNAcentral
GUUGAACGCUGGCGGCAGGCCUAACACAUGCAAGUCGAGCGGAUGAAGGGAGCUUGCUCCUGGAUUCAGCGGCGGACGGGUGAGUAAUGCCUAGGAAUCUGCCUGGUAGUGGGGAUAACGUCCGGAAACGGGCGCUAAUACCGCAUACGUCCUGAGGGAGAAAGUGGGGGAUCUUCGGACCUCACGCUAUCAGAUGAGCCUAGGUCGGAUUAGCUAGUUGGUGGGGUAAAGGCCUACCAAGGCGACGAUCCGUAACUGGUCUGAGAGGAUGAUCAGUCACACUGGAACUGAGACACGGUCCAGACUCCUACGGGAGGCAGCAGUGGGGAAUAUUGGACAAUGGGCGAAAGCCUGAUCCAGCCAUGCCGCGUGUGUGAAGAAGGUCUUCGGAUUGUAAAGCACUUUAAGUUGGGAGGAAGGGCAGUAAGUUAAUACCUUGCUGUUUUGACGUUACCAACAGAAUAAGCACCGGCUAACUUCGUG